Molecule: small RNA, 7068 nt
Filed under: Rattus norvegicus (Norway rat)
Lineage: Eukaryota; Metazoa; Chordata; Mammalia; Rodentia; Muridae
Description: uncharacterized LOC103690608
Source: RNAcentral
AAAAUCAAAACCAAAAAGAACCCCAACAACCCACAAAGAGCAAGGAGUUUGUCUAGUGUUGGAGCACUAUUCCUGGGCAUGGGGCCUGCCCUGCACUGUGAUUUGGUAGACCUAGUGACACUCUAUUGGAGAAAACUGAUUUUUCCCCUUCCCGGAAGCUAUCAAUCCCAAGUAGCUUCUUAGGAGUGGGGCUUUGCAUCCACCUCCUCUUCUCAGUGCUAGGAUUUUUUGUGUGGUUUAAAACUCUGCAGCUUUUGUACGGUCAGCCUGCUUUACUCCAUAACUCAGGACCAUUUACCCCGGCGUAGUACCUCCCACAGUGUGCUCUGCAGUCUCACAACCAUCUUAUUCAAGAAAAUGCCUCAUGGAUAUGCCCACGAGCCAGUCCGAUGGAAGUCAUUCUCCAGCGAGAAUCCCUCUUUUCAGGUGACUCACGUUGGCGUCCAGUUGGUGAAAGCUGACUAGCCCAGCCUGCAGAGGCAGUCGGCAUGCCUGCCCGGUGUUCCUUUGCACGGAAGUCCCAGAGAGCGAGUGCUGUGGAAGAGUCAAGCAUUGGCAUGUAAGGAGGAAGCUGUGAGCUGGGAUGAAUCCAGAAACGUUUUCUCAGGGGUAGUAUUUUGUGAUAGUGUCACCGGAGUCGAGCAAGUAUCAGUUGGAGGCAUACAAAACUGAGGAUCUAGAGUCAAAGAACCCAGAUCCUUGAAGAUCUCUAGUAACUUCUAGCGAAUGGGAAAAUCUACAAAGCUGAUUCUUUAGCUUUGAAUGUAAACAAACAUCUGAGCUCGAGUUUCUCAGUGUUGUCUUUCCUAGGGUCAUCUGCCAUGUGUCCUGCACUCCCAGAAUCCUGUUCUCAGUCAGUGGUCUCCUUCAGCUGUUAUGGUGACCAUAACUGAUGCUCUCAGGUACUCAUGCGCUAGCUCAAGUGAAGAAUUCCCACUUGACCAUGUCCUUGAAGUCCUCAUUAGUGAUGGAACUUAUAGGCCCUGGGAUAAAGUUUAAUAACUGACAAAACAUUUCCUUACUCUUCAUCUCAUUUGACUGUCAUGUGGAUAUGACCUGUCACCUGCGAGGAAUCGCUGUGUCAGUGUGAGGGUGAAGAAAAGAGACCAGUGUGACCUGUGUGGUCCUGCCUUUGCCUGCCAGUGGGCUUUUCUUUUUCCUACUGAAGAAUGGAAUCUUUAAAAACUUGAAUUUGUACUCCAGCAGCUGAUUAAUCAUUUGUAGGAAUUUUGUUUACAGGGACCACAUUGGCUGGAGCCUUUCAGACUUUCCCCCUAAGAUCCAGGUGUGGAAAGUGAUACGUUCGCAGAGAACCGGUGAAAUUCAGCUGGCCCAGGCCAUUCAGUGUGAAUGGCAUUUGUUUGCAACUCCCCAUGCAGUAUCCACAGUGUGCCACAUGCCACCCUAUCCUGAGAGGUCAGCAAAGAGGUUAAUGUUAUUAGUGAUAUUAUUUUCAGGUCUGAGAGGUUCAGAGAUAUUAAGGAAUUAUACCAUGGGACUGCAUAGAAUGGUCCAAAUGGGGUUUAAACCCGGGGCUGGAACCCUAACUUCUACUUGUAGAGCUCAUGAGGUUUCUUGAAUUUGUUGGUCUGGGUUUUGUUGAGCUCUACUGAGGCCCAUUUCCAGAUUGGCUCCAAGGGAGUUGCAGUGGAGCUGGGAAACUUACUCUGGUAGUACAGAGCAGAGCUGGGAACUUUAUUCUGGUAGGACAGAACUAGUCUGUCCCCGGACUUCGGGCGCUGUCCUCUCUCCAGUCUCCUUGGCUAUCAUAGGUAGUGCUAUUAUUUUGGGUGGUCACUACCAGACUUUCUAAUCUGUUUUCAAACCUUUCUCCCAGCUUCUCCAGGACACUGGAUUUUGUGGGUAUCGGAAGGGUCCUUUGGCUCUGGGCUGGAGUCAGAUGAGCUAUGAAGAAAGGAAGCCAGAAGAGAGCAUCAGUUCCCAUGGAAGUGAAGUUACAGGUGACUGUGAGCUACCUCACGUGAGUAGAGUAUACUCUUAACCGCUCGGUCAUGUCCCAGCCUGAACCCGUGUCUGUAAUACAAUCUAUAGACGUUGUUUCUCUUGCUUUUGCUUUUUAAAGCAAUAUAGAAAAAGGAGCAAAGGUUAGAGUUGGGGCUUUCUGACAUGGUGGCAAAAUAACCAGAAAUAAAUAAUUUAAGUUUGGAUCCAUUGUCAUUCACCGCCCUCCCCCCCACACACACAUACUGUGGUAAGGCAGAGCAUCAUGGGGGGGAACAUGUGUUAGAGAAAAUUGUUCAUCUCGUAGUAGAUGGAAAGGAGAGGUUUGGACAAUGUGGGAGGGAGGGAAGAGGAGAGCAAGGAAGGGGUGGGCACCAAGGGUGGUCUAGAGACAAGACAGAUCUACCGAAGGUAUACUCUGAAUGACCCUUCAACUAGAUCCUACUUCCAUCACCUCCUGAUAGCCCAUCAAACUGUGAACCCCUCAAUCAAUGAGUUAAUUCAUCAAUGAUGUCAUAGCUGGCAUGAUUCAUUGAUACACCCAAAGCGAUCUCAAUGCAUCAGUGGCAAGAAUUUCAUCACAGGAGGGCAUUUCAAGAUCAAAACAAAAUAGGGCUCCAAGGGGUUAUAAAAAGUCCCAGACUAGGUCUGGUGGCUAAGUGACCCAAGUGGAACACUUACAAGCUAUGCCAUAUUAUCUCUCCCACUAAUAUGAAUGAGAAUAGAUUCUUCUUAUCUUUCUUGCAUGCCUCCUGAGAAAAUGAACCACAGGAAGUCUAAAGGAAAUGCUCCGUAAAUGCUGAAAUGUUCCAAAGCCUGAAAAUGUUCCAAAUAAUGCGUCUCAUACGCAAACCUUCAUGUGAGGACCUGGGGGAUUCCAAGCUGCUCUCCUGGGACUCUAAUGCAGAGUACUGGCAAGGUAGACGGUAGCAGGAGCAACUGAGGCCAAGUGUGACAAUGAGACUCUUGAGCUGCAUGGCUGACCUGCUUGGAGGGCUUGAAGACGAGUAAUUGGGCAGAACGUCAUGCACCUGGAAGAUCAAAAGAUAAGCUCUCUGAGAGGGGGGCAGGGAACGGCUCGUGAGUCAAGGAGUUGGAAGAAUUCGGGCAACUCUGUUGUAACCUUUCCUGUUUCUUCUUUCUCUGCCCUCCCUCCAGUGUUCACUGCCCCACCCUCUCAGAUCUCAAAAGGCUCCCAACUGGUCUCCCCACUCAGCUCCAUACACCCCUGCCUGAAUCUCCACCUUCCUCUUCAGUCCUCUCCCUCUUGCUCCAGUUUGAGCACGCAGUGCUACCCGCCAGCCAGGUGAAGCUACUCCUUCUUCCUGCUCCUGUACUUUUCCACUGUUGGCCUUCUCUUGUGCUCUGUCCUUGUGCACCCUUCCUAGUCCUGCAAGUGCGAACACCAAUUCUGACUUUCAGUCCAUCCCAAAUGCUCCUCUCUUAACUCUACUUGAGCGGAUAUGUGGUUGUCCGAUUCGACCUCCUGUUUUGGGGAGGUAUUUGAAGCCAUUUAAGUGGUGUCUUAGCUAUUUUUUCCCCUCGUUUUACCUCCUGGAGAGACUGAAAUCAUCUUGCAGAAAAGGGCCACAAUCAAAUCUGUAUUCCUUGGUAUCUUCUUGGGGGCCACUUCAUUUUCUCAUGAACUUACUAGGUUGGGAAGGGAGAGGUUCAAGCACUCUAGAACUAAGCCUCAGUAAGACCAACCGUACACUGCAAAGGAAGCUGAGAUAUAUUGUAACAGACAUGUGGAUAAACACCUUCAAAGAAUAGUGACCAGAGGGGAAAAGUCUUCUCAAGGGAGUGUAAAACAGGGAAGCAAGAAAUCAGGUAUGAGUGAGAUGGCAGUUGUUUGUCCUAUGCUUGGUAACAGGAGUCAACAGAACCUGGAAGGACCUUCUUAGGGUGGGACCAGAAUGAAUCACAAAAGCUUUCAUCUAACCAGUAUACAGCACCGGGCAUCUUCCCAAGCAGAAGCCAGGAGACAAAAGCAUCCAGCACAUUCCCAAGCCUUUGGGGUUCCUAGAGUCUUCCACAUGAGCCAGACCAAAUCUCAAAGUUCAUACCCAUUUGAAAAAAAGACAACACCGUGUCAAAAAUCCUGCCCAGCUACACCAGCCAGUGUUUCUUCAUGAUCUAUCAAACUUGGGCCAGGUGGAUGUAACCACAGACGUCCCAAUAGGUGUGGUGAGAACAAAGACAUAUAAAGGGAGAACAGAUUUUAGAAACAGAGUCAGGGAAGCCUCACUCCCAGGAGUGUGGAGAAGUGGUCCAUGAGGAGCUGUGGGUCAGUGGAAAUAGAGAAUUGGCCAAGGGGGCAAACCUGUUUGCAACAGAACCCAGGUCACUUCAAUGUGGGCUUAGCUUUUCCAAGGCCACCUGACUAUUAGAAUGGCCAGAAAACCCCUUUUAUUCCUGUUUAUUUCUCUCCUUUUCUCUGUUCUUUUCCUUCUUUCCCCUCCUUCACAUUCCCAUCUCUUUCUCUCAAAGGCCUAAAGAAAUCGUGGAAUAGAACACCCCACUGAAAAUGGAAACUCAGGUGGACUUCAGAGGGAGGAGGGGAUGAGAAGGCCCUUGGUCACUUAUCAUCCUGUGGCUUGGGGAAAGUAGGGGCCAAAACGAACACCAAGAAGUCUUCUCCUCUUUAGUGGACUUGCUUAUUUGUGGACCUCAUCUGCAUAUGUAAAUGAGAGCAGUGGGCAAUGUAGGGUGGCAGCUGUGGCCCUGCAGCUGCCUGUGCAGUGAAGCACUGGGGAGCCUCCCACAGCGCCGGGCCACUCAACUCACAUAUUGGGGACUCACUGCUUGAGAAGAGGGAGUACUAAUGAAAGGCAAGAGACCAUGUCGGAGAGGGGUCCUGGGUGUCAUUUAUGUGAACACACUCAGAGAAACACAAGAGUAGAGACUUUGUCCAGUUGUAAUCAGUCACCAUCUGGACUGCUUAGAAACUGCAUUUCCUGCUUUGAGCACCGGGAGUCUGUUAUUUUUCUUUCCAAAACUGGGUGGGAGAUAUAGACAGAGACAUAGUCCAGCCAGAGAUGAGGUGUGAACAGUCCCCAGGGAUUCCCAAGAGACAGGCUGGCAUAUCCCAAGUCUUCUUCCCAUGUAGGUCAGGUUCUAGUCUUCAUUUGCAAUCCACAUGGCCAUUCUCUGGGGUCACAGAGAGUUCUGGGGCAUAUGAUUCCGUAAGAAGGACAUUCUUACACCCUAUAAACUCAUCUGUGAUCAAUGCAAAGUGGAUUUUACUAUUUAUUCAAAUUUCAGUGGAAUUCUUUAAAAUCUUUUACAUCUUUUUUUGUGGACCAAGAAUGUAUAGUCACUAACUUUCUGAAGGCUUCAAAUUGUGAAAAAGAUGAGCAUUAAAAGAAAAUUAAUGCUUUUUUCACAAAGGUACUUUACAUUUUUUUAAAAAAAGGAUGGAGUGGGUUCUCUUUUAACUACUUGCAGUAGAUAGCUAAGAAACAUCUAUGUUCUAACGGGAAGACUAGAACCUUGACAUCAGAGGUUUUUGAUUUUUUUCUUUAUUGAAGUUAACUUCUGUUAUCAACAGGACAGCUAUGGGCCUGAAAGUUGACUUAGCAGGGAAAAGUACUUGCCAUGCAAACCUGGCGAACCGAGUUUGGUCCUCGAAACCACAGAAAGAAUGAAGAAGAAAACCGAAGGCACAAAGUUGUCCUUUGAUCUACAGCUACACUAUGGGAUGCAUGCCCCCCAUGUCCCAUGCUCUCCCUCUCGCCCUCCCUCCCACCUCUUACACACACACACACACACACACUAAUAAUAACUAAAUAAGUGCAUCUGAGGGACUGGCUCAAUGCCUUCCAGCGGUGGGUGCUACAUUGAAGGGGUUGUUAGAAGACAUAGCCAUGGGUCUCAGAACUAUAUGGUUGAAUAGAAACAAGCCAGAAUGGAAAUAAACACUAUUCACCUCUUCUGUUUUGCAGCCGAAAUCCCUGCCUUUUCUCUCCAAGGCUGCCAUGUAGGAGUUAUAGAAGCCACACGCAUAAGAUCUUGUUGUUCCUAUGCAAGGACCGGGAGCCUUGCUUCAGUCUCAGACCUGAUCUUGUGACUCUCAAGUGUUCUAGUGUGUCCACUGCUGCCUUGGACCUUUGGCAGAAUAAUCAGAGCCCCUCCACCUCACCAUUUCUAAGAGAUUUCCACAUAAAACAAAAUGCUUGCUGUGCAAAUCUCAUGAUUUACAAGAUCACUGACCAAGACCAAGAUCACUGACCCUAUACCUGUCCAUGAAAUUGCUCCUGUGGCAUGGGUCAGUAUCACUAAAUUUCUAGAUGUUCUGUCUGUUGGAUGACUUCUCGUCCUCACCAGCUUAGGUGAAACAAAGAAGGACCCAAUAACUCUGCUUCUCCAUGAAGGAAUUUACUUUGUCACAGGCUUGGAAGAAGGAGAGUGAGUAUGUAUUAUGGUCAGGAAAAUGUCCACAUGACAGUGGUGCAUCUGAGGGACUGGCUCAAUGUGUUUCCAGCGGUGGGUGCUACAUUGAAGGGGUUGUUAGAAGACAAAGCCAUGGGUCUCAGAACCAUGUGGAUGAAUAGAAACAAGCCAGAAGGGAAAUAAACACUAUUCACUUCUUCUGUUUUACAGUAGGAACUGUGAGUAAGUUUCUUGAUGCACAGUCACUGCUUAUCUUUUUAGCUUCCCGAGAGCUAGGAAGGCCACAUAAUACUCUUUCUAUAGUUUUCAAGAUUCCCUUAUGUGAUCACUCAGUAUAUUAUAUUAGCAUUCAAUUCACAAGCCUGCCUUUAACAGAUAGACAGUGCAGAAUUUAAAAUCUGAAUAUAUAUAUCCCCUCAUGUUUAUUGAUAGGAAUUUCAAAUGCAGAAAUAGAGCCCGAAUGGUUAGAAUAGGGAUAAUUGUACAGGUAGGUUUUACUAAAAACCAAGGAAGGCUUUGGAAGGCUUUUUGGCGCGUAGAGCCAUCAAAGUGUAAAUGCUCUGCUAGGGAAGUAAUUGUUUUCUGUUAGAGGUAAGCAAGCAGAGUGGGGGAGGGACUUGGAGCUUACGAGGUUUAUAUGUCGACUGGUAACCUUCAUGUUCUCACAGAUCUUUAGCCACACAUAUAGAAAGAAUUCGAUAUGUGUAUUUAAAU